UGGAGAGUUUGAUCCUGGCUCAGGAUGAACGCUGGCGGCGUGCCUAAUACAUGCAAGUCGAGCGAACGGACGAGAAGCUUGCUUCUCUGAUGUUAGCGGCGGACGGGUGAGUAACACGUGGAUAACCUACCUAUAAGACUGGGAUAACUUCGGGAAACCGGAGCUAAUACCGGAUAAUAUUUUGAACCGCAUGGUUCAAAAGUAAAAGACGGUCUUGCUGUCACUUAUAGAUGGAUCCGCGCUGCAUUAGCUAGUUGGUAAGGUAACGGCUUACCAAGGCAACGAUGCAUAGCCGACCUGAGAGGGUGAUCGGCCACACUGGAACUGAGACACGGUCCAGACUCCUACGGGAGGCAGCAGUAGGGAAUCUUCCGCAAUGGGCGAAAGCCUGACGGAGCAACGCCGCGUGAGUGAUGAAGGUCUUCGGAUCGUAAAACUCUGUUAUUAGGGAAGAACAUAUGUGUAAGUAACUGUGCACAUCUUGACGGUACCUAAUCAGAAAGCCACGGCUAACUACGUGCCAGCAGCCGCGGUAAUACGUAGGUGGCAAGCGUUAUCCGGAAUUAUUGGGCGUAAAGCGCGCGUAGGCGGUUUUUUAAGUCUGAUGUGAAAGCCCACGGCUCAACCGUGGAGGGUCAUUGGAAACUGGAAAACUUGAGUGCAGAAGAGGAAAGUGGAAUUCCAUGUGUAGCGGUGAAAUGCGCAGAGAUAUGGAGGAACACCAGUGGCGAAGGCGACUUUCUGGUCUGUAACUGACGCUGAUGUGCGAAAGCGUGGGGAUCAAACAGGAUUAGAUACCCUGGUAGUCCACGCCGUAAACGAUGAGUGCUAAGUGUUAGGGGGUUUCCGCCCCUUAGUGCUGCAGCUAACGCAUUAAGCACUCCGCCUGGGGAGUACGACCGCAAGGUUGAAACUCAAAGGAAUUGACGGGGACCCGCACAAGCGGUGGAGCAUGUGGUUUAAUUCGAAGCAACGCGAAGAACCUUACCAAAUCUUGACAUCCUUUGACAACUCUAGAGAUAGAGCCUUCCCCUUCGGGGGACAAAGUGACAGGUGGUGCAUGGUUGUCGUCAGCUCGUGUCGUGAGAUGUUGGGUUAAGUCCCGCAACGAGCGCAACCCUUAAGCUUAGUUGCCAUCAUUAAGUUGGGCACUCUAAGUUGACUGCCGGUGACAAACCGGAGGAAGGUGGGGAUGACGUCAAAUCAUCAUGCCCCUUAUGAUUUGGGCUACACACGUGCUACAAUGGACAAUACAAAGGGCAGCGAAACCGCGAGGUCAAGCAAAUCCCAUAAAGUUGUUCUCAGUUCGGAUUGUAGUCUGCAACUCGACUACAUGAAGCUGGAAUCGCUAGUAAUCGUAGAUCAGCAUGCUACGGUGAAUACGUUCCCGGGUCUUGUACACACCGCCCGUCACACCACGAGAGUUUGUAACACCCGAAGCCGGUGGAGUAACCUUUUAGGAGCUAGCCGUCGAAGGUGGGACAAAUGAUUGGGGUGAAGUCGUAACAAGGUAGCCGUAUCGGAAGGUGCGGCUGGAUCACCUCCUUUCU
This 1550-nucleotide ribosomal RNA is filed under the name Staphylococcus aureus subsp. aureus JH9. RNAcentral describes it as "16S ribosomal RNA". It matches the Rfam family "Bacterial small subunit ribosomal RNA". The record is from RNAcentral. Lineage: Bacteria; Bacillati; Bacillota; Bacilli; Caryophanales; Staphylococcaceae.